GACAGAGGGUGCAAACGUUGUUCGGAAUUACUGGGCGUAAAGGGUGCGUAGGCGGCGGGGCAAGUCGGAUGUGAAAUCUCAGGGCUCAACCCUGAAACUGCAUUCGAUACUGCCUUGCUCGAGGACUGGAGAGGAGAUUGGAAUUCACGGUGUAGCAGUGAAAUGCGUAGAUAUCGUGAGGAAGACCAGUGGCGAAGGCGGAUCUCUGGACAGUUCCUGACGCUGAGGCACGAAGGCCAGGGGAGCAAACGGG
This 253-nucleotide ribosomal RNA is filed under the name uncultured bacterium. RNAcentral describes it as "partial 16S ribosomal RNA". It matches the Rfam family "Bacterial small subunit ribosomal RNA", at positions 524 to 776 of the family's 1533-position model. The record is from RNAcentral.